UUUUCGCAAUGCCCGAAAGGGUGACGAAGCGACGCCGCGUGAGCGAAGAAGGCCCUAGGGUUGUAAAGCUCUGUCAGGGGUUAUGAAAUGUAGACUGGUUAAUACCCAGUUUAUUUGACAAAGGCCCCAAAGGAAGCCACGGCUAACUCUGUGCCAGCAGCCGCGGUAAUACAGAGGUGGCAAGCGUUGUUCGGUAUUAUUGGGCGUAAAGAGCACGUAGGUGGUUUUGUAAGUCAGAUGUGAAAGCCUUCUGUUUAAAGGAGGAACAGCAUCUGAAACUGCAAAUCUUGAGUGUAGGAGGGGAGAGUGGAACUUCUGGUGGAGCGGUGAAAUGCGUAGAUAUCAGAAGGAACGUCGGCGGCGAAAGCGACUCUCUGGCCUAUUACUGACACUGAGUGUGCGAAAGUUAGGGGAGCAAACGGGAUUAGAUACCCCGGUAGUCCUAACCGUAAACGAUGGGCACUAAGUAGAGGGGUUUUAA
Molecule: ribosomal RNA, 481 nt
Filed under: uncultured anaerobic ammonium-oxidizing bacterium
Lineage: Bacteria
Description: bacterial SSU rRNA
Rfam family: Bacterial small subunit ribosomal RNA
Source: RNAcentral